RNAcentral lists this unclassified non-coding RNA (263 nucleotides) under plant metagenome. Its description in RNAcentral is "partial contains small subunit ribosomal RNA, internal transcribed spacer 1, and 5.8S ribosomal RNA". The record is from RNAcentral.
UUUCCGUAGGUGAACCUGCGGAAGGAUCAUUAUUGUAUAACCGAGGUGCGAGGGCUGUCGCUGACCCGAAAGGUCGUGAACGCUCGAGUGCCCUCACACACAUCCAUCUCACCCCUAUUUGCACCACCGCGUGGGUCCCUCUUUGGCUUGUUCGGAGGGGGGCUUACGUUUUCACACAAACUUUGUAUGCAGUGUAGAAUGUAUUUUUUGUUUUUGCGAUCACGCAAUCAAUACAACUUUCAACAACGGAUCUCUUGGCUCUC